RNAcentral lists this ribosomal RNA (253 nucleotides) under uncultured bacterium. Its description in RNAcentral is "partial 16S ribosomal RNA". It matches the Rfam family "Bacterial small subunit ribosomal RNA", at positions 524 to 776 of the family's 1533-position model. The record is from RNAcentral.
GACGGAGGAUGCAAGCGUUAUCCGGAAUGAUUGGGCGUAAAGCGUCCGCAGGUGGCAGUUCAAGUCUGCUGUCAAAGACCGGGGCUUAACUUCGGAAAGGCAGUGGAAACUGAACAGCUAGAGUAUGGUAGGGGCAGAGGGAAUUCCUGGUGUAGCGGUGAAAUGCGUAGAGAUCAGGAAGAACGUCGGUGGCGAAGGCGCUCUGCUGGACCAUAACUGACACUCAGGGACGAAAGCUAGGGGAGCGAAUGGG